RNAcentral lists this ribosomal RNA (254 nucleotides) under uncultured bacterium. Its description in RNAcentral is "partial 16S ribosomal RNA". It matches the Rfam family "Bacterial small subunit ribosomal RNA", at positions 524 to 776 of the family's 1533-position model. The record is from RNAcentral.
UACGUAGGGUGCGAGCGUUAAUCGGAAUUACUGGGCGUAAAGCGUGCGCAGGCGGUUAUUUAAGUCAGGGGUGAAAGACCUGGGCUUAACCUAGGAAUUGCGCUUGAGACUGGGUAGCUUUGAGUGUGGCAGAGGGAGGUGGAAUUCCACGUGUAGCAGUGAAAUGCGUAGAGAUGCGGAGGAACACCGAUGGCGAAGGCAGCCCCCUGGGCCAAGACUGACGCUCAGGCACGAAAGCGUGGGGAGCAAACAGG